UGGUGCAUGGCCGUUCUUAGUUGGUGGAGUGAUUUGUCUGGUUAAUUCCGAUAACGAACGAGACCUUUACCAUACUAAAUAGUUUGAUCUAUAAUUUUUUAUAGAUUUAUUUAUAAACUUCUUAGAGGGACUAUUGGUUUCUAAACCAAAGGAAGUAAAGGCGAUAACAGGUCUGUGAUGCCCUUAGAUGUUCUGGGCUGCACGCGCGCUACAAUGAUAAACUCAAACGAGUUAUAUUUUAUUUUAUUCGUUUACCGGAAGGUAUGGCUAAUCUUAAACGUUUAUCGUGCUUGGGAUAGAUGAUUGCAAUUAUUUAUCUUGAACCAGGAAUUCCUAGUAAUCGUAUAUCAUCAGUGUGCGAUGAUUACGUCCCUGCCCCUUGUACACACCG
Molecule: ribosomal RNA, 391 nt
Filed under: Platyamoeba australis
Lineage: Eukaryota; Discosea; Flabellinia; Vannellidae
Description: bacterial SSU rRNA
Rfam family: Eukaryotic small subunit ribosomal RNA
Source: RNAcentral